RNAcentral lists this ribosomal RNA (431 nucleotides) under uncultured bacterium. RNAcentral's name for it is "partial 16S ribosomal RNA". It matches the Rfam family "Bacterial small subunit ribosomal RNA", at positions 29 to 507 of the family's 1533-position model. The record is from RNAcentral.
AGCGAACGCUGGCGGCAGGCCUAACACAUGCAAGUCGAACGCCCCUUCGGGGGAGUGGCGGACGGGUGAGUAACGCGUGGGAAUGUGCCCUUUGGUACGGAACAACUGAGGGAAACUUCAGCUAAUACCGUAUGUGCCCUACGGGGGAAAGAUUUAUCGCCAUUGGAGCAGCCCGCGUUGGAUUAGGUAGUUGGUGGGGUAAUGGCCCACCAAGCCGACGAUCCAUAGCUGGUCUGAGAGGAUGAUCACCCACACUGGGACUGAGACACGGCCCAGACUCCUACGGGAGGCAGCAGUGGGGAAUCUUGCGGAAGGGGCGAAAGCCUGACGAAGCCAUGCCGGGGGAAUGAUGAAGGGCUUAGGAUUGUAAAAUUCUUUCACCGGGGAAGAUAAUGACGGUACCCGGAGAAGAAGCCCCGGCUAACUUCGUG